Molecule: ribosomal RNA, 117 nt
Filed under: Oryctolagus cuniculus (rabbit)
Lineage: Eukaryota; Metazoa; Chordata; Mammalia; Lagomorpha; Leporidae
Source: RNAcentral
GUCUAUGGCCAUAUCACCCUGGAUGCACCUAAUCUCGUCUGAUUUCAGAAGCUAAGCAGGUUGGGCCUGGGUAGUACAUAGUACUUGGAUGGGAGAAAACCUUGUGAAUAACAGACU